RNAcentral lists this ribosomal RNA (549 nucleotides) under uncultured bacterium. Its description in RNAcentral is "bacterial SSU rRNA". It matches the Rfam family "Bacterial small subunit ribosomal RNA", at positions 355 to 896 of the family's 1533-position model. The record is from RNAcentral.
UAGGGAAUCUUCGGCAAUGGACGGAAGUCUGACCGAGCAACGCCGCGUGAGUGAAGAAGGUUUUCGGAUCGUAAAGCUCUGUUGUAAGAGAAGAACGAGUGUGAGAGUGGAAAGUUCACACUGUGACGGUAUCUUACCAGAAAGGGACGGCUAACUACGUGCCAGCAGCCGCGGUAAUACGUAGGUCCCGAGCGUUGUCCGGAUUUAUUGGGCGUAAAGCGAGCGCAGGCGGUUAGAUAAGUCUGAAGUUAAAGGCUGUGGCUUAACCAUAGUACGCUUUGGAAACUGUUUAACUUGAGUGCAAGAGGGGAGAGUGGAAUUCCAUGUGUAGCGGUGAAAUGCGUAGAUAUAUGGAGGAACACCGGUGGCGAAAGCGGCUCUCUGGCUUGUAACUGACGCUGAGGCUCGAAAGCGUGGGGAGCAAACAGGAUUAGAUACCCUGGUAGUCCACGCCGUAACGAUGAGUGCUAGGUGUUAGACCCUUUCCGGGGUUUAGUGUCGCAGCUAACGCAUUAAGCACUCCGCCUGGGGAGUACGACCGCAAGGUUG